RNAcentral lists this ribosomal RNA (469 nucleotides) under uncultured Methanomicrobiales archaeon. RNAcentral's name for it is "bacterial SSU rRNA". It matches the Rfam family "Archaeal small subunit ribosomal RNA", at positions 871 to 1337 of the family's 1478-position model. Lineage: Archaea; Methanobacteriati; Methanobacteriota; Methanomicrobia; Methanomicrobiales. The record is from RNAcentral.
ACGGGGAGCACACAACAGGUGGAGCCUGCGGUUUAAUCGGACUCAACGCCGGGAAACUCACCAGAUAAGACAGCUGAAUGAUAGUCGGGCUGAAGACUCUACUUGACUAGCUGAGAGGAGGUGCAUGGCCGUCGUCAGUUCGUACUGUGAAGCAUCCUGUUAAGUCAGGCAACGAGCGAGACCCACGCCAACAGUUGCCAGCUCGUCCUCCGGGAUGGUGGGGACACUGUUGGGACCGCCUCUGCUAAAGAGGAGGAAGGAAUGGGCAACGGUAGGUCAGCAUGCCCCGAAUUAUCUGGGCUACACGCGGGCUACAAUGGGUGGGACAAUGGGUAUCGACACCGAAAGGUGAAGGCAAUCUCCUAAACCCAUCCGUAGUUCGGAUUGUGGGCUGCAACUCGCCCACAUGAAGCUGGAAUCCGUAGUAAUCGCGUUUCAAAAUAGCGCGGUGAAUAUGUCCCUGCUCCUU